This 482-nucleotide ribosomal RNA is filed under the name uncultured bacterium. RNAcentral describes it as "partial 16S ribosomal RNA". It matches the Rfam family "Bacterial small subunit ribosomal RNA", at positions 30 to 507 of the family's 1533-position model. The record is from RNAcentral.
AUUGAACGCUGGCGACAUGCCUUACACAUGCAAGUCGAACGGUAACAGGUCUUCGGAUGCUGACGAGUGGCGAACGGGUGAGUAAUACAUCGGAACGUGCCCGAUCGUGGGGGAUAACGAGGCGAAAGCUUUGCUAAUACCGCAUACGAUCUACGGAUGAAAGCGGGGGAUCUUCGGACCUCGCGCGGACGGAGCGGCCGAUGGCAGAUUAGGUAGUUGGUGGGAUAAAAGCUUACCAAGCCGACGAUCUGUAGCUGGUCUGAGAGGAUGAUCAGCCACACUGGGACUGAGACACGGCCCAGACUCCUACGGGAGGCAGCAGUGGGGAAUUUUGGACAAUGGGCGAAAGCCUGAUCCAGCCAUGCCGCGUGCAGGAUGAAGGCCUUUGGGUUGUAAACUGCUUUUGUACGGAACGAAAAGCCUCUUUCUAAUAAAGAGGGGUCAUGACGGUACCGUAAGAAUAAGCACCGGCUAACUACGUG